RNAcentral lists this transfer RNA (76 nucleotides) under Lachnospiraceae bacterium. RNAcentral's name for it is "tRNA-Lys". It matches the Rfam family "tRNA". Rfam says of the family: Transfer RNA (tRNA) molecules are approximately 80 nucleotides in length. Their secondary structure includes four short double-helical elements and three loops (D, anti-codon, and T loops). Lineage: Bacteria; Bacillati; Bacillota; Clostridia; Lachnospirales; Lachnospiraceae. The record is from RNAcentral.
GGUUCUCUCGUUCAAUUGGCAGGAUACCGGACUUUUAAUCCGGGAGAUGUGGGUUCGAAUCCCACGGGAAUCACCA